UCCCGGUUGAUCCUGCCAGGGGUUACUGCUAUCGAGAUUCGACUAAGCCAUGCAAGUCGAAUGUUCUUCGUGAACAUGGCGGACUGCUCAGUAACACGUGGACAACCUACCCUUGGGUCUGGCAUAAUCCUGGGAACUGGGUAUAAUUCCAGAUAGGUCACAGAUGCUGGAAUGCACUGUGGCCGAAAGCUCCGGCGCCCAAGGAUGGGUCUGCGGCCUAUCAGGGUUGUAGUGGGUGUAACGGACCUACUAGCCUACGACGGGUACGGGUUGUGAGAGCAAGAGCCCGGAGAUGGAUUCUGAGACACGAAUCCAGGCCCUACGGGGUGCAGCAGGCGCGAAAACUUUACAAUGCGGGAAACCGUGAUAAGGGGAAUCUCGAGUGCCAGCAUAUAAUGUUGGCUGUCCAGAUGCCUAAAAGCAUCUGUUAGCAAGGGCCGGGCAAGAC
This 448-nucleotide ribosomal RNA is filed under the name uncultured Methanosaeta sp. RNAcentral describes it as "bacterial SSU rRNA". It matches the Rfam family "Archaeal small subunit ribosomal RNA", at positions 1 to 452 of the family's 1478-position model. Lineage: Archaea; Methanobacteriati; Methanobacteriota; Methanomicrobia; Methanotrichales; Methanotrichaceae. The record is from RNAcentral.